GCCAGAGUAGCACAGCGGUUAGUGUGUCCGACUAAGACCUGGGAGACCAAGGUUUGAAGCCCAUGAAGCUCUUGCUGGGGCG
This is a non-coding RNA of Podarcis lilfordi (Lilford's wall lizard), 82 nucleotides long. Lineage: Eukaryota; Metazoa; Chordata; Lepidosauria; Squamata; Lacertidae. The record is from the annotation of a GenBank genome assembly.